Molecule: ribosomal RNA, 506 nt
Filed under: uncultured Alteromonas sp.
Lineage: Bacteria; Pseudomonadati; Pseudomonadota; Gammaproteobacteria; Alteromonadales; Alteromonadaceae
Description: bacterial SSU rRNA
Rfam family: Bacterial small subunit ribosomal RNA
Source: RNAcentral
GUCGAACGGUAACAGGAUUAGCUUGCUAAUCGCUGACGAGUGGCGGACGGGUGAGUAAUGCUUGGGAACUUGCCUUUGCGAGGGGGAUAACAGUUGGAAACGACUGCUAAUACCGCAUGAUGUCUACGGACCAAAGGGGGCUUCGGCUCUCGCGCAAAGAGAGGCCCAAGUGAGAUUAGCUAGUUGGUGAGGUAAAGGCUCACCAAGGCAACGAUCUCUAGCUGUUCUGAGAGGAAGAUCAGCCACACUGGGACUGAGACACGGCCCAGACUCCUACGGGAGGCAGCAGUGGGGAAUAUUGCACAAUGGGGGAAACCCUGAUGCAGCCAUGCCGCGUGUGUGAAGAAGCUUCGGGUUGUAAAGCACUUUCAGUUGUGAGAAAGGUUGGUAGUUAAUACCUGCCAGCUGUGACGUUAACACAGAAGAAGCGCCGCUAACUUGCCAGCAGCCGCGGUAAUACGAGGGUGCGAGCGUUAAUCGGAAUUACUGGGCGUAAAGCGCACGCA